RNAcentral lists this long non-coding RNA (206 nucleotides) under Carica papaya (papaya). RNAcentral's name for it is "long non-coding RNA (CPAP_LNC002354)". Lineage: Eukaryota; Viridiplantae; Streptophyta; Magnoliopsida; Brassicales; Caricaceae. The record is from RNAcentral.
UUUUGGCGCCCAUACCGGACAGGGUAUGGGGACAACCCUGGAAUCUGAUUACAAGUGUUAAGGGUUCACGGGUAGGGGGACCCCUAUGGAUCCCCAUGGAUACUAGUAGGCUGGUAAAUGAGGAAAAAUAUGUUGUGUAACGAUUGAAAUGCAAAAGGCGUGAUAAGUAUUAUGUUAUACAGUUCAUAUGAUUUCAUGAUGAUGAU